UACGGAGGGUGCGAGCGUUAAUCGGAAUUACUGGGCGUAAAGCGCGCGCAGGCGGUUGUGUAAGUCGGAUGUGAAAGCCCUGGGCUUAACCUAGGAACUGCAUUCGAUACUGCAUAGCUAGAGUAUGGUAGAGGAAAGCGGAAUUCCCGGUGUAGCGGUGAAAUGCGUAGAUAUCGGGAGGAACAUCAGUGGCGAAGGCGGCUUUCUGGACCAAUACUGACGCUGAGGUGCGAAAGCGUGGGUAGCAAACAGG
This 253-nucleotide ribosomal RNA is filed under the name uncultured bacterium. RNAcentral's name for it is "partial 16S ribosomal RNA". It matches the Rfam family "Bacterial small subunit ribosomal RNA", at positions 524 to 776 of the family's 1533-position model. The record is from RNAcentral.